Long non-coding RNA from Sinocyclocheilus rhinocerous, 469 nucleotides. RefSeq lists it as uncharacterized. The record is from RefSeq and is a predicted model, not a curated record. Lineage: Eukaryota; Metazoa; Chordata; Actinopteri; Cypriniformes; Cyprinidae. The transcript has 3 exons.
AGAGCUCAGAAAAAAAAAUGCCGUAGGAGAAUGCGGUUGGAGGGCAGUUUUUAUACAAAUAAAAGUGCUUCAGACAAUUGGACUGGAGGGAAAAGUAACACCACAACAAGCACGGAAGAAGUGGGACAACUUAAAAAAGAAAUAUAAGGAGCUGAAAAACCCACCAACUGGUUCAGGGGUUGACAAGGGAGAGGAUACAGCUGCAUCAUGGCCCUGGUUCACCCUAAUGGAUGAGGCUUUGGGUCAGAAGCAUUCAGUUACUCCUCCAGUGCUGCUUGCCUCAAUGUCCCAGGCCUCUUCCACCUGUGGUGAGCCGGGGCCUUCAAAUGCCUCUCCCUUGCCCCUCAAUGAAGACCGAGAGCCUGAACCAAGCAGACGAAGGGGUAAAAAGAGGAGCCUCAUUGAAAUGUUCAGGGAGGAAAUGGCCAGAGAGGAAGCCAGGGAAGAAGCCAGACAAAAGGCUGCAGAU